This 512-nucleotide ribosomal RNA is filed under the name Vibrio alginolyticus. RNAcentral's name for it is "bacterial SSU rRNA". It matches the Rfam family "Bacterial small subunit ribosomal RNA", at positions 373 to 877 of the family's 1533-position model. The record is from RNAcentral. Lineage: Bacteria; Pseudomonadati; Pseudomonadota; Gammaproteobacteria; Vibrionales; Vibrionaceae.
GGGCGCAAGCCUGAUGCAGCCAUGCCGCGUGUAUGAAGAAGGCCUUCGGGUUGUAAAGUACUUUCAGUCGUGAGGAAGGCGGYGUCGUUAAUAGCGGCGUUGUUUGACGUUAGCGACAGAAGAAGCACCGGCUAACUCCGUGCCAGCAGCCGCGGUAAUACGGAGGGUGCGAGCGUUAAUCGGAAUUACUGGGCGUAAAGCGCAUGCAGGUGGUUUGUUAAGUCAGAUGUGAAAGCCCGGGGCUCAACCUCGGAAUAGCAUUUGAAACUGGCAGACUAGAGUACUGUAGAGGGGGGUAGAAUUUCAGGUGUAGCGGUGAAAUGCGUAGAGAUCUGAAGGAAUACCGGUGGCGAAGGCGGCCCCCUGGACAGAUACUGACACUCAGAUGCGAAAGCGUGGGGAGCAAACAGGAUUAGAUACCCUGGUAGUCCACGCCGUAAACGAUGUCUACUUGGAGGUUGUGGCCUUGAGCCGUGGCUUUCGGAGCUAACGCGUUAAGUAGACCGCCUGGG